Molecule: unclassified non-coding RNA, 243 nt
Filed under: uncultured Helotiaceae
Lineage: Eukaryota; Fungi; Ascomycota; Leotiomycetes; Helotiales; Helotiaceae
Description: sequence contains 5.8S rRNA gene
Source: RNAcentral
GAACGCACAUUGCGCCCCUUGGUAUUCCGGGGGGCAUGCCUCUUCCAGCGUCAUUUCACCCCUCAAGCUCUGCUUGGUUUUGGGCCGCGCCGGCAACGGCGGGCCUCGAAAAUAGUGGCGACGCCAUCGUGCUCUCAGCGUAGUAAUUCUUCUCGCUGUUGGGUCCCGGUGGUCGUCCGCCAGCAACCCCCAACUUUCUUAAGUUUGACCUGGGAUGAGGUAGGGAUACCCGCUGAACUUAAG